UAUUCUUUUAGUUUUAAAAGACAAGUAAGAAAUAAAAACUUUUGUCCUAUACCCAAUAAAUAUCUCAAAAAGAUCAUAAAAACUACUCAUUACCACUUUCCUUAUUUAACCAAAAUUUAAUAUCCAUAAAUUCAAACCAAGGAGAUGAGAUAGUUUUUUGAGUGAAAGAGAAUAAAAUUUAUUCACUUUUUGUUACAAAGAUUUUUCUCUCCUAAAGAGACGUUGCUUACUAUGGAUUGAUACCCUCUUUUAGUUCCCUUUAAUCAAAAAGAUAUAUUGAAUUAAUAAAGAAUCUUUUCCCCUUUAUGAUGUCUUAAUGAUAAAUAAAAAAGAUAAAAAAAGACAAAAAAAAUUUCUUAACCAAAAAGAGUGUUAUCGAAAUCAUUACCAAUCUUUAAAGAUAUUAAACAAGUUCAAUAGAUUGAAAUAUCAACAAUUGUCAAAGAUAUUCAAUAAACUUAUCACAUUAAAAUAUGUGACGUCUCAUUCCUAGCUUCCUGGAAACAGUUGCCAACCAAUUGAUCCAAAACAUGCAGCCAAAAAAUUUCAUUCAUAUGCAGCAAACUACAUACAAAUAAAUAUCUCUUAUUUUGAAAUUUUAAAUAUAAAAUUCCAUUACAUGAGAUAGUUGAGCCACACAAAUUUAAAUACAUAAAUUUAUAAUAACUUCUAUCGAAUAAUUUAAACCCAAAGCUAUGAGACUCUUCUCACACCGUUAUUUAUUUGUCCCUAUCAAGGUACCCUAACUUGAAAAGACAAUCUGGAUUGGGGUGAUUUUCAGGAAAACUCAGUAAAAAAUGCAAUACUAGCAGGCCACAGUAAUGUUUUAAAAUCUUUUUGAUACAUUUUAGUGAAGACUAUUUAUAAAAUGCGAUGUGAUCUUUUAUGAAAAAUAUUUUAUUCAAUAAGCAAUAAUAAUCAAUCAAUCAAUUAAUCCAUCAAUCAACCCCUAUCCUACAAUCCCUACUCUACAAUCGAUACCAUAUAAUCCCCAAAACCCCAUUGCAAAUGCACAUGCACAUGAACAUGCCAUCAAUCACACGCAAGCUCUACACACGCACUCGGACUGACACUGACACAAUUACUCUGACUCUUCUUCUUUAUUAAGUCUUUUAUGUUCAUUCCAGAAAUACUGAAUACUGGUUUCAGCCUAAAAUCCAAAUAUCAGCACCCACACUCUGGUCGAGUCCCCAAGUAAUAAAAUCAGGCCCUUAAGGAAAUUAAGCAAAUCAGAUUUUACCAAACUGCUUGGUUGAUUUAAGUUUUAUUAGAUAGUUAACUCGUUUUCCUUUUUCGACACAACCUUUAAGAUAUCUUAUACCUAAUCAGUCUAACUCUACUUUAUUUCCCCUAUUUCCUUCUCUUGUUCUUUCCACCCUCACUGGUCUUUCCCCGAAUCAUAACCUAACCCUUCUUCCAUUUUUUCUUUUUACGAUUCAUACAUUCCAAUACAACUCAUUUUAAUUCCUUUAACAAUAAUGAUAUUUCCAAUUCAAUCAAUCAAUAAACAAGAUAAAUAUAACAUACAAAAAAUAAAUAGAAAUAACAAACAAAUUUUCAUUUAAGCCUAAAUUCUUCUAGAUGACCUUAAUCUAUUUAUUUUAUUUCUACACUGACACAAUUACUCUGACUCUUCUUCUUUAUUAAGUCUUUUAUGUUCAUUCCAGAAAUACUGAAUACUGGUUUCAGCCUAAAAUCCAAAUAUCAGCACCCACACUCUGGUCGAGUCCCCAAGUAAUAAAAUCAGGCCCUUAAGGAAAUUAAGCAAAUCAGAUUUUACCAAACUGCUUGGUUGAUUUAAGUUUUAUUAGAUAGUUAACUCGUUUUCCUUUUUCGACACAACCUUUAAGAUAUCUUAUACCUAAUCAGUCUAACUCUACUUUAUUUCCCCUAUUUCCUUCUCUUGUUCUUUCCACCCUCACUGGUCUUUCCCCGAAUCAUAACCUAACCCUUCUUCCAUUUUUUCUUUUUACGAUUCAUACAUUCCAAUACAACUCAUUUUAAUUCCUUUAACAAUAAUGAUAUUUCCAAUUCAAUCAAUCAAUAAACAAGAUAAAUAUAACAUACAAAAAAUAAAUAGAAAUAACAAACAAAUUUUCAUUUAAGCCUAAAUUCUUCUAGAUGACCUUAAUCUAUUUAUUUUAUUUCUACAUUAUUAAAAUUUUAAAUUAUCUAUUUUUUGUUCCAAUUUUCUAUUUUGGUUUUCCUAAUUUUAUUUAUCUAUUUACGUAAUUACAUUCUUAUUUUUUCUUCUUAUUUAUUUUCCUAAUUUUAUUAGUUUCUAUUUGCUUCUUAUUUUUAGGAUUAUUUAUCGAAUUAUUUACUUAAUUAAUUAUUUAAAAUUUAUCAUUAUAAAUAAUAAAUUAGUUCCUAUUUUGGGUUUGUAUGCUGUUUGUUGACUUCUGGAUCAAAAAUAAUUAUUAACUCUUAUCUACUUUAGUUGUUUCUGGGUCAGAAGCCCAAUAAGACAACCCAUUUGGUUAAUUUCCAACUACUUCUAAUUUAUUCCUAUUUCAUUUUGUUUUGAAUUUGUGUAACACCUUAAAUUAAGUUUUAUUUUCUUUCCCAUCCUUUAAUUUGCCUAAAAAUAUUCACUUCUAGCCCAUUUAAAGAAACUUGGCCCACCAGUAUUUAAUUUCCCUAAUAACCCUUCAUACG
This 2658-nucleotide long non-coding RNA is filed under the name Carica papaya (papaya). RNAcentral describes it as "long non-coding RNA (CPAP_LNC015127)". Lineage: Eukaryota; Viridiplantae; Streptophyta; Magnoliopsida; Brassicales; Caricaceae. The record is from RNAcentral.